ACAGGUAAGACAUUUGGUUCAUAUUCCUGGUUUGGUUAUAUCUUCUGUCUCCAGAUCUUGUGAUGGGGUUGUUCCCCAGCAUAGUUGCAAGCAGGGUGUUGUUGAAGACUCAGUUUUCUCCAGCAACAGUUUUCCCCAAUAGAGUUGCUUAUGCAGUUGGAUUCUACUUGGAUGAAGUUAUUCUCCUUCAGUGGGUUGUUCCCCGGAGUUGCAAAGCUCUUUGUUUCUCAGUUGAUGCUGAGAUCCCCUGCGGAUCUUCGAGAUUUUCU
RNAcentral lists this long non-coding RNA (269 nucleotides) under Lathyrus oleraceus (garden pea). RNAcentral describes it as "Pisum sativum (pea) long non-coding RNA (PSAT_LNC001253)". Lineage: Eukaryota; Viridiplantae; Streptophyta; Magnoliopsida; Fabales; Fabaceae. The record is from RNAcentral.